UGAAUUGGAAAGAAGCCCAGAGAUAUUUAUAUGCAUGAUAGAAAGAAACCGUACAAGCAUUUUUGUGAAAAGAAGACAUUGAAUGACUUGUGUAAGUCUACCAAUCUGUGUUGUUAACAAUGGGUAGGAUAAAAAGCAGGCUUUCUUUUAAAGCAUAAGACUUAAAAUGUCUACUAAGGGCUUCAGAGUACUGAUGAAGACCUAUAUUGCUUAUUCUCUAGUUUGAAGUAAGUUCUGUACCACCUGACCAUUUCCUUUGGGUCCAGCCAGGCUUUUCCUCACAGAUAGCCAACAGCUUUGUCAGUCUGCAGAGCUAAGGACUGGCUCCAUUAUUGAAGGGAAUAGAUAGCCAACAGCUUUGUCAAUCUGCAGAGCUAAGGACUGGCUCCAUUAUUGAAGGGAAUAGAUAGCCAACAGCUUUGUAUAUCUGUAGAGCUAAGGACUGGCUUCAUUGUUGAAGGGAAUAGAUAGCCAACAGCUUUGUCUAUCUGCAGAACUAGAGACUGGCUUCAUUGUUGAAGGGAAUAGAUAGCCAACAGCUUUGUAUAUCUGUAGAGCUAAGGACUGGCUCCAUUAUUGAAGGGAAUAGAUAGCCAACAGCUUUGUCAAUCUGCAGAGCUAAGGACUGGCCCCAUUAUUGAAGGGAACAUAAAAGGAAAAAUUAAAACUGAUGAAUUUUCUUUACACCUAGUCUAACAGAUUUCCAGCAGCUCUACUGAUAGAAUUAGACAAUGGUUUUGAUUCCCAUGUCACGGUUCCCAUGAUCUGUGCUGAGUUCCACUCAUUUCUGUCCCAGAGAGCAUGAAAUAUCAGCAGUGAACAUGUCCCACACACCUUGCAUCAUUAGGCGCUUCAGGAGGCAGUUGUAAGCUUUAGAGUGACAGGUGUUAAAUAAGCACUCAGCUGUGCGCUCUACUGAUGUUCUCCUAGCUGGAUGGAGAACAUGCCUAAGUCUCGGGAAAUGUGGUUCAUAGGAAUAAUUCUUUAAACUGCGUUGUGAAUAAUUAGAAGAAAUGGACUGUUUAAAAUUGAAGAGCACCUUAUAUAGGGGAUAUUAUAUGAUUAACAAAAAAUGCUUAGUGAUCUACUGGAGUAGCCGGUGCCAUAGGGAAGUCCUGUGAUGCAAUAAACAAGGAAAACCUGGCAUUUGAAAACAAAGAAGGACGUGUAUUUGAGAUAAAGCUGAGCCCUGGGGAGGGGUGAGGAUAAGAUUUAUAAAAGAAUACUAUGGAAUAGUCUAUCUUCCUUCAUACAAACAGAUCUUAUAGAAAGAAAACCUGAAGGAGGAAGGCCAUUUGUUAAACAAACUUUUCCAUAGACUCUGAACUUGACAAAGAAAACUAAGUAAAACUAACUAAGAGACUCUAAAAAGAAAAGCCAAUGUGAUUUUCAGCUUUAACACUGUCAAGAUGACAUGCUUUCUUUAAAAGAAGCCGGAAUAUCCUUACUAAAUGUGAGAAACUUCUAAAUAUCUGAAUAUGUGCAGGAAUUUUUUUUUUUAGACAAUUGGUUUAACUACCUCCAGGACUCGUUUGAGCAACAGUGGGGAGUUGAUGAAGAAGAACAGACAACAUAGUAGAAAUGUCAGAAAGGGGAGAGCAUAUUUUCUUCAAAGACAGUCAAAAUAUAGUAGAAUUCGUUCCUUCCAGUUCUGUGACUUGCGUUCGCACUUUUACCUUACCACCUAGCACGCAGGGAUGCUUCUGUUAUGCUUCUCUUUCUGCUAGCUGUGAUCUAAGAACAGAAUAAAGUCGCUCGUAGAUCUCAUGCCCAGGAUCCUUUACAGUGCCUCACACAUUGUUGGUACGAAAUAACUGGGGGAAGCAGAUGGUGACAGAAGGAGGGAAGGCAGUUAGCUCAGGGGACAGGAAAUCUAUCCUCGAAACUUGUCGCCAACAUCAUCAUCUUGUGGAGACCACGCUGGCUGUCACCUCCUCCUUUUUAUGUGCUGUGCUCUCUCACUGUCCCAUUGUAGAAGGGACUCGUUUGUUUUGCUGUGAUUCUCCUGGCUAGAUUGUGAGCUCUGUGGGACUAUGGAUCUUUGCUUUAUAUGCUAAUCCAUUUGAGGUACAGGAGAAAUAGUGAGUGCCUAAGUAUAACUAAAAUAUCCAAAAGAGGUUUCGAUGCUGUUAUUAGUGUAUAUUCACGGUAGCAAGUUUAAUAAUGACAUUUUUGUUCUAGUAUACCAUAUACUCAGACUACAUUCACUUUCCAUUAGUCUCUCUUGUCCCUCACUCCCUCUCAUUCUCUCCCCAGGGUCCCUUUUAUGUUUAUCUGAAAAAAAAAAAAACUUUAUGGAGGAAGCAUCAAACACCUUCCAUGUGUAUCUAAAAGGCACAGACUAAGGAUGUGUUAAAGUAUGUUUAUAUUUGUUUUGACUCAAUAAUUAAAUGGAACAGGAAUUUAAAACUACACUUCUGACACAGAUAAUCAAUGUGGAAUUGGCUAUAUACAAGAAUUUUCUAAAGGCAGAGCAGGGGCAUCUGAUUACUGUACAAAGAAUGAGGAGAAAUAAAGGGACAUGUGAUGAAAGAUGUAAGAAAAUAAUGAAGGGACGCAGUUUAGAGCUAAAAGCAAAAUACCUGAAAGAUUAAAGUUCACAUGACCUGACCUGCAGACAUUUUGUAUAAGUAGAGCCACUGUGGUUGUUUGAAUAAGCUUGGCCCAUGGAAAGCCGAAUUAUUAGGAGGUGUGUCCUUGUUAGAGGAAGUGUGUCACUGUGUAGGCGGGCUUUGAGAGCUCCCAGUGCUCAUGCUUAGCCCAACGUAGAAGACUGAGUCUCUUCCUGGCUGCCUUCCGAUCAAGAAGUAGAACUCUUGGCUCCUUCAGUACCAUGUCUGCCUGAACCUUGCCAUGCUUCCAGUCAUGAUGAUAAUGGACUGGACCUCUGAGACUGUAAACUAGACCUAAUUAAAUGUAGUCCCUUAUAAAAGUUGCCUUGGUCAUGGUGACCCUUUGCAGCUAGGAAACCCUAACUAUGACAGCUAUGAAAAAUAAGGGCCCACACUCUUUGUUUUGUAAACAGAGGAAAAGGCAUGAGGUUGGCAUGGUGGGGAUGUGGGGGGGGGUGUAUAAUUUGAAUCCAUUGUAUGAAAAUUUUUUCAAUAAAAAGUUCUC
This 3117-nucleotide long non-coding RNA is filed under the name Mus musculus (house mouse). RNAcentral's name for it is "long non-coding RNA chr15:39642245-39645362". Lineage: Eukaryota; Metazoa; Chordata; Mammalia; Rodentia; Muridae. The record is from RNAcentral.